ACCUACGGGGCGCAGCAGUGGGGAAUAUUGGACAAUGGGCGCAAGCCUGAUCCAGCCAUGCCGCGUGCAGGAUGACGGUCCUAUGGAUUGUAAACUGCUUUGUACAGGAAGAAACACUGGUUCGUGAACCAGCUUGACGGUACUGUAAGAAUAAGGAUCGGCUAACUCCGUGCCAGCAGCCGCGGUAAUACGGAGGAUCCAAGCGUUAUCCGGAAUCAUUGGGUUAAAGGGUCCGUAGGCGGUCAGAUAAGUCAGUGGUGAAAGCCCAUCGCUCAACGGUGGAACGGCCAUUGAUACUGUCUGACUUGAAUUAUUAGGAAGUAACUAGAAUAUGUAGUGUAGCGGUGAAAUGCUUAGAGAUUACAUGGAAUACCAAUUGCGAAGGCAGGUUACUACUAAUGGAUUGACGCUGAUGGACGAAAGCGUGGGUAGCGAACAGGAUUAGAUACCCGAGUAGUCG
This 460-nucleotide ribosomal RNA is filed under the name uncultured bacterium. Its description in RNAcentral is "bacterial SSU rRNA". It matches the Rfam family "Bacterial small subunit ribosomal RNA", at positions 337 to 796 of the family's 1533-position model. The record is from RNAcentral.